This 317-nucleotide long non-coding RNA is filed under the name Malus domestica (apple). RNAcentral describes it as "long non-coding RNA (MDOM_LNC000684)". The record is from RNAcentral. Lineage: Eukaryota; Viridiplantae; Streptophyta; Magnoliopsida; Rosales; Rosaceae.
CUCCAUUUUGGGCUUCACUAUCAGCAGAAGCCUGGGCUUGUUCGUCGGGUGGGGGCUCUCCACCUCCUCCUCACCGGAGACGAAGAAGUCGCGGGAGAACUCGGGCAGCGCCGGCAGGUUCAGGUCAAACGUCUCUCGGGGGUGGCCGUGGCUGACCGCGUGAGAAGUUGACCCGACUCCCUCAGAGGAAGUUAUAGCGCUUGUGGUAGCGGUGGAUCCUGCGGCGCCGCCAUCGUAGUGGCAGCGCUUGUGGCCGCCCAAGGCUUGACCGGUGGGGAAAGACUUGUGGCAUAUGGAGCACUCGUGGGACCUUCCCG